This 253-nucleotide ribosomal RNA is filed under the name uncultured bacterium. RNAcentral describes it as "partial 16S ribosomal RNA". It matches the Rfam family "Bacterial small subunit ribosomal RNA", at positions 524 to 776 of the family's 1533-position model. The record is from RNAcentral.
UACGAAGGGGGCUAGCGUUGUUCGGAAUUACUGGGCGUAAAGCGCACGUAGGCGGAUAUUUAAGUCAGGGGUGAAAUCCUGGAGCUCAACUCCAGAACUGCCUUUGAUACUGGGGAUCUCGAGUCCGGAAGAGGUGAGUGGAACUCCGAGUGUAGAGGUGAAAUUCGUAGAUAUUCGGAAGAACACCAGUGGCGAAGGCGGCUCACUGGUCCGGUACUGACGCUGAGGUGCGAAAGCGUGGGGAGCAAACAGG